AAAGGGAGACCUAAUUCAGGUAGGAGACGAAAAAAGAGUAGUCCCUACCAGGAAUCAAUCCCAAAAGGUCGGAGCGAGGCGAAAUUGGCUUUCAAACUAGGUUCUGGGUUCAAACAAGACCUGAAUCAGGAACAAGGGCUAUUAGCUCAGGUGGUUAGAGCGCACCCCUGAUAAGGGUGAGGUCCCUGGUUCGAGUCCAGGAUGGCCCACCUGCACAGGUGGCAAAAACAAGAGAAGCGAGGAAUCAGCACCUUAUCUUACUGACAUAGUAAGAGAGAAUGCUGGCUCUGAGUAAAGAGUCCAGAGGAACCUUGAAAACUGCAUAGAGCUAGGUGAAAAAGCCAAAAAAGAAGACCGCAAG
RNAcentral lists this transfer RNA (361 nucleotides) under uncultured Microcystis sp. RNAcentral's name for it is "partial 16S-23S ribosomal RNA intergenic spacer". The stretch from base 136 to 209 matches the Rfam family "tRNA". Lineage: Bacteria; Bacillati; Cyanobacteriota; Cyanophyceae; Chroococcales; Microcystaceae. The record is from RNAcentral.